This 303-nucleotide ribosomal RNA is filed under the name uncultured bacterium. RNAcentral describes it as "partial 16S ribosomal RNA". It matches the Rfam family "Bacterial small subunit ribosomal RNA", at positions 507 to 807 of the family's 1533-position model. The record is from RNAcentral.
AGCAGCCGCCACGGUAAUACGAAGGGUGCAAGCGUUAAUCGGAAUUAAUGGGCGUAAAGCGUGCGUAGGCGGUUUGUUAAGUCUGUUGUGAAAUCCCCGGGCUCAACCUGGGAAUGGCAAUGGAUACUGGCAAGCUAGAGUGUGUCAGAGGAUGGUGGAAUUCCCGGUGUAGCGGUGAAAUGCGUAGAGAUCGGGAGGAACAUCAGUGGCGAAGGCGGCCAUCUGGGACAACACUGACGCUGAGGCACGAAAGCGUGGGGAGCAAACAGGAUUAGAGACCCGCGUAGUCCCUGUCUCUUAUAC